CUAAGGCAGUAACCACAGAGAGGGCUGGCCAUCUUCAAAGAGGCCAAGAACAUCUCUGAAGUCUCUAUGUCACUGACACCUGCCAGUUCACAGAAGACAGACGGUGAGAGACAGAAUAUAACAGAGAGACCUGCAGCACUGCUCUACCACUUGUGAAGCUACACCCCACCCCCACACCACCCUAUAGUAUCAGCUACAUUGCAAACUAGGAAGAAGGACCAGAGCAAGCAGAAGAGAUGG
Erinaceus europaeus (western European hedgehog) is the source of this 240-nucleotide long non-coding RNA. RefSeq lists it as uncharacterized. The record is from RefSeq and is a predicted model, not a curated record. Lineage: Eukaryota; Metazoa; Chordata; Mammalia; Eulipotyphla; Erinaceidae. The transcript has 3 exons.